RNAcentral lists this long non-coding RNA (5884 nucleotides) under Pelobates cultripes (western spadefoot toad). Lineage: Eukaryota; Metazoa; Chordata; Amphibia; Anura; Pelobatidae. The record is from RNAcentral.
AAACAGGACAAACAGAUUUACUAGAAACAACACAACUGAAUGGCUAAUAUUAAAGUUUACUAGGAAUACUUUAUUUACAGUACAUGCUUUAUAAUUAGUUUGAUAUUUAUUAAAUUCACAAAUACAUUUUACUAUAAUAGAAAACAUAGAUGCAAGAGGCAAUUUAAAUGUUUAGAAUUACAGACCAAUAUCAAAUAACUGCCUUCUUGUAAACAGGGCUUCAGACCACCCCCAAAAAUGUUAAAAUAAAAAUUUUUACUUUAAUUCAGUAUAAUGAUAAUAAUUGAUACAUUAUCUUUUUUUAUUUAACCAGAGCUACCCUAGCACUUUUUCCGAUGCAAGUUCUAAAGUUCAGAGUUAAUUUAUGAAGAUGAGAGCCAGGCCCUCUUGUCCUAUUAUCAAUCGUAUUUACAAGCAAGAUCGUCACAACCAGCAAUGUCAGUGGGAGACUAAUAGUGGUACAAAAGUAGUAAUCACCAUAGAAAUCAAUACAUAGUUUCACAAAAUUUAGAACGUUGAACCCAAUAUAGCACAUGUUUUGCCUUGAAUAAUUUCCUCAAUAAAGCUAUAAACGUGAGCAGUCAGUAUUAUUAUUCUACCUGAUUCCAUGUUGAUAUUUUUUGUCCUACCACAACCAUAAAACUGUUACAAUUCAUAAAGAGUUUAGCUUACUUUAUUCAGGUGAAGAGACAAAGAACAUUUUCAAGGCACUGAUGACUAAAAUCAUGAAAUGCCUAAUCUUGAAUGUUAAGAGCAUUUACAACAGUGAAGACAGCAACAAUACAACAUCCUUAUCCUGCCAAAACCACUUUAUUAAUAUUUUAAAUGUUAAGGAUGAAUAACUUGCCAAUGAAAUGUCUGUAUUGUCUACAUGAAAAAUACAUGAAUAUUGCUCAUUGCGCCUUGCUAAGCUAUUUGGAUGGCUAAGUGAAAAGUACACAUAACUGUUAAUUUGCAUUUUUCAUUUAAUUAGCCUUGUAUGAUGAAAUCAAGUUUCAAUAAAGCCCAGUGUUUCUCUAUUAAUCUGUACUUGCUGUUUGACAAUUCAGUUGUCUUGAUAUGUUACCAUUUUAGCAGUCUAUACAGGGAAUAUAAUAAAUACCUUAGCAUGAAGCAAAAUUUUUGAUCAAAAAAGUGUUCUCUGUUCUUUUCUCUUAUUAGCCCUUCUUGCUCCAGGUUUUUUAGGAUUCUUUUUUAAUUGGGAUUACUAUCACACUAAACUCUCUCUAUGAAUGAGGAUCAGGGUGUCCUAGAUCUGUCUAUUACUUUCUCUCUCUCUCUCUCUCUCUGUAUAUAUAUCGCCCCCUAGUGGCUCUCUUUAGGGGUGUUGUAUUAGACAACUCUGGUUGAAGGGACUUAUGCACUUAUGCACUCAAUGGGGAUCAAUGUGAUGUUCUAAUGAUGAUUAACACACAUUCUUUAGUUUAUUUUGUAGAAUUGGGAAAAUUGAUAUAGGAACUCCUGGAAUUGGUGUAUACAUCCCUGAUGAUUAUUUUUUAAUCCCAGCUGUGUUUUGAUAAAUUAUUUUUUUUUUCUCAAUCCAUAUUGUUUUCUUUUUGUUGUGGUCAUGUCAAUGUUUCAUAUUACAUUAAUUUAAAGAAUGGAUAAUGUAUGGAAUAUAAACUGAUUAAUGUUUUAAUGUCAAUAAAUGUUUCAAUAUGAUCAAAAGUAUAUUGUAAUUUGUUGAUAUACCACAGAUCUCUUUAAUCUGCUAACUCUUAUGACCAUCUUUUAGUGGAUACCGGUACUCUCUCUGCAUAAACAAAAAGAGUAAUUUGGAGAAAUCAAAGUUCAUUUACACUACUAAAAAAAGUAUAUGCAAUCUACUCACACUCCCAUAAACAAAUCAAAAACUGGUAUCUUAAAAUCAAUCCUUGGAGAAAGGGAAUUAGGAGCAGCCUUUACAAGACAUUAUCCCAGCAAGACUCCUCACAAACAAAAAUAAUGUUAAAACAGGAUCAUAAAAAUAGUGGUCUAUUUUAAUAUAUUUUAUUUUUUUACUGCCACAACCUUCUGCCUUACUGUUGUCCCUACUAAAAGUAUAUUGGAGAGAUGUGAAGUGUGUACCUAAUUUUCAUUUUUGAACAAACAAAAUGUACUCAACAUUUGUGCGAAAGACAAAUUUAUAUUUCUUCUUUCUUAUUAGUCCCUCUUCCUCCAGGCUUUGUAGGGUUCUUUAUGCAUUUGGAUAACUAUUAUGCAGCCCUCUGUCUUUUAAAUAAGGAUCAGGGGUGGGACGUGAUGACGUUGAGACAGGACCGUAACCACACAUUGGGAGGCAGGGCUUAGGGGUGAAUGGCCGGGCGGUAGAAUUCACCACUAGGCAACAGCGUCUGUGUAAAGGGGAUCAUGGCAGGAGAUUAGAGCCGACAACUAGAAGCCCUUUGCAAGUGACUAAAUGAAAAAACGGCAGCUUGCUGAAAAUGAGAAAAGGUCUAGAAAAUCCAAGCUAAAAGCAAGUAUAAACACUAAGCUUAUAAGUGUUUAAAAAUAGAAAAUCUUAAAAAAAAUAAAUAAAUAACAGUGGAUAAUUUGUAUAUAACUGGAAUAUACUGACAUACAAAUACACAUUAUCCCCUAAUCUGCUCUGUGUGCUGAGGAGAGGAGAGAGAAACAAAGAUAAGGCUGAUCUGAUAUUAUUAUGUUAUUAUUUAUAUAGCGCCAUCAGAUUCUGUAGCGCUGUACAAUGGGUGGACUAACAGACAUGUAAUUGUAACCAGACAACUGGAUGUACGAGAACAGAAGGGGUGGAGGGCCCUUCUCAAUGAGCUUACAUACUAGAGGGAGUGGGGUGUAGUGAUACAUAGGGUAAAACUAGGGGUACGAAGUAGGUUGUUAGAAAAGUAUUCACCGAGGGCUUAGUAGGUAAUUUUUGACAGUUGCAGGAGAUAUGAUCCCUAGAGGGAAAUUUAUGACAGCCUAAAAUUAACUACUCAGAAAAAGCCUCUAAAAAAAUCCCCAUUUUUAUUAUAUGCCACAAUAUCAUCUAAUAGCACAUAAUGGUACAAAGAAGUGCCCAGAAGCUGAAGGUGGGAAAAGAAAGGAAAGAAGGAAGAGGAAAUAUAACAUAUAAAGAAAGGAAUAAAGGGAAAAGAAACAAAAUCUCAAGAUUUAAAACAAAAAAGAGUCGCUAAACUUAGUAGUGAAAUAAAAUGACUACUGCAAAGAUUCCAAGAAAAAAAAAAGAUCUUAAAGACACCAAACAAGGCAAAGGAGUAUCAGCUUUUUUCUGUCCCGAAAACAAACAAGGUGGCGGUAAUUGGCUAUCAGAAGAAUCUUUAAUGGAAGACAAGAGAAGUCCAACGUUUAAUUUGCAAGAAUUUAUCAAAAUCAAUUUGGAAAGUCAAACUGAAACAUUUAAAAAAUAACUUAAUAAUAGCACAUGUCAACUAAAACUACAAAUAAAAGAAAUUGGUGCAAAAAUAACCGAGAUGGAAGAAAAAUAUGAAAAAAUGGAGUUCCAAUACAAGACGUAAACAUCUUGGAACAAAGAAUAAAUCUAUUGGAAGAUAAGCAAAGAAUAAAGAACAUCAGACUGAAAAAUAUCCCUGAAUCCAUUACUUAUGAAAAUACAAAAGAAUUUGUGCUUGAAUUUCUUUUAGCCUUAGACAUUAACAAACAAAACAAGGAACUUGUUAUAGAAAAUGUAUAUCGUGUGAGAAAACCGCCAAAUAUUCCCGAAAUAAGUCCAAGAGACCUGGUAGUUGUCUAUUAUUCUUUUCAAAUGAAACAACAAGCUAUUCAAGCAAGUAGAGUGAAUAAAUUAACAGAAGGAAGAUUUAAAGUUAUUGUUAUGUACCAGGACUUAUCAUCAUAUACAAGAAUGUGGAAAAAGACAAUUUUUACAGCCUUGAUACCACUUAAACAACACAAUAUAAGAUACCGAUGGGGGCCAAACAAAUUAAUAACAGUGAUCUGGAAAGACACUAAGAAAAUAUUUUCUGAACCAAAACAAUGGACAAAGGAACAGAUAAAGUGAGGGAAGAAGAAGGGAGAAAAAAAAUUAGAAGGAAAGAGAAUAACUUUUUAUAAUUACUGAAUUAAAAGAGACUAAGAGAAAUAUACAGAGGAACAUAAGAAGAAGAGGAGGGAAACAAAAUAAGAUUUUUUUCUCUCUCUCUCUUUCUCUUUUUAAAGUGUAUAUAUAGGUUUAGGGAAAAGAUAAAUAGUAAGUUAGAAAUUUAAAAAUGUGAAACACGUCAGCUAUAUGACACAUACUAAGUGAGUAAUAUAAACACAAUAAAAUAGAACUGAAGAGAUUAGAGGGAAGUGAGGGAAGUUUUCCCAAAUACGAGAUACGAUAAAAACAAUAUUAUAUGUUUGUUUUAAUGGUUACACAAGAUAGAUAAUGAAAUGUUUUAAACACUUCUCGCUUUGAAGACAGAAAAAAGAUAGCUAAGACACUUGCCAUUUGGAAAUAGAUAGAUAGAAAAAGGGAAUUAAAGAGAGAAGGGGAAUGGGAGGAAAAGGGGAGAAAUAAUUAAAAAAGGCACAUAAUAAAGGUGAUAUAGAAUAAGUUUGAGAAAUAUAAUUUGUGUCCGGAACAAGUGUGUUUAAUUAAAGGGUGAUUAUAAUCCUGAAUAGGUGUAAAGUCCACUUUCCAAGAUCAAGUCUACAUUUGCCACAGCUUCCUCUUCAUACUGGUAGAUUUCAGAUUUUUCUUUUUUAUACAACUUUUUUUUUCUCUCUCUCUCUAUCUUUGGCCAUAAAUGGUGGUAAAGAGUGUGUAAAUAAUUACUAUUUGAAGCGCUGGUCCAUGUCAACUAUUUAAAAAUACAUCUGCUUGGAGAUCUUAGAGAAGAUCUUAGCUAGUGACAUUAUGGAGAAUAAUGUUAGAUGUUACACUAAGAGGGGGCUUUUUGUCACUAUUUGUGUAAGUGAGGAUGUAUGCGGUUAUCCCUUCUAUAGAAGGGAAUUUCCAAGUUGUGUGAUUGUUUGAGUUGAUCAUGUGAGGAAGACUGAGAAAGUAAUGAGUAGGAAAUAGGAAUAGAAUAGAAUUCUAAAGUGUAUUUCCAUGAGCAUAUAGGGGCUAAACACCCCAUGUCAAAGAAAACCUCUUUACGAAUUACUCAGAAAAGAACGAAUAGACAUAGCUCUGAUACAAGAGACUCAGUGGAAAAGGGAGACUCACUGGAAAAGGGAAGAGGAAGUUAGAUGGAAGUAUGAGUUGUAUAAAGAAGUUAUACAUGCAUCUGUAGAGGGUGAAAAAAAAAGUAGUCAUUAUUUUUUCAAAAUGGAUUAAUAAGGAAAUAUUAUAUACAGAGUUGGAUAGUGAAGGAAGAUACCAAAUUCUAGUAUGCAGGAUAGACUCAGUUACAUAUACCUUUGUUAAUCUUUAUUUGUCAUAUGUAUUACCAAAAAAAUAUCUUAAAAAAAGGUAAUGGAUAGGGUCAAAAAAGUUAAAAUGGGAAUAUUGGUUGUCACAGGGGAUUUUAAUUGUGUCCCAGAUACAGAGCUAGAUUAGAAAAUUAAAGAUAACAAAAAAAUAAAUAAACAACUAAAGAAACAAUCUAAGAUACUGGGAAAUAUUAUGAGAGAGAAUAAUUUGUUGGAUAUAUGGUGAGUCUACCAUGCAAAUGAAAACAAAUUUACAAACCUUUCUAGAAUACAUCACUCGUUAUCCAGAAUUGAUCUGGGAGACAAUAGCAUAGUAGAACAGAUUCACAGAGAGAGAACCCACGGGCAGAUCAUGGCUAUAAUCUGUUUGUAUUUAAAAGACAAAAAAAUAUAUAUAAACCUUUUAGCACUUUUUCACUCUCCAAAGUGGAACAUCAAAAACAAAUAAUAAAGGUAAUAGAAUUAUACUUUAAAGAAAAAAAAAUCUGAAAGAAUGCCAUAUUCAAUGAUUUGGUUCGCUUUCAAAGUGGUUGUGAGAGGAUACUUG